GAUGAACGCUGGCGGCGUGCCUAAUACAUGCAAGUCGAGCGAACGGACGAGAAGCUUGCUUCUCUGAUGUUAGCGGCGGACGGGUGAGUAACACGUGGAUAACCUACCUAUAAGACUGGGAUAACCUCGGGAAACCGGAGCUAAUACCGGAUAAUAUUUUGAACCGCAUGGUUCAAAAGUGAAAGACGGUCUUGCUGUCACUUAUAGAUGGAUCCGCGCUGCAUUAGCUAGUUGGUAAGGUAACGGCUUACCAAGGCAACGAUGCAUAGCCGACCUGAGAGGGUGAUCGGCCACACUGGAACUGAGACACGGUCCAGACUCCUACGGGAGGCAGCAGUAGGGAAUCUUCCGCAAUGGGCGAAAGCCUGACGGAGCAACGCCGCGUGAGUGAUGAAGGUCUUCGGAUCGUAAAACUCUGUUAUUAGGGAAGAACAUAUGUGUAAGUAACUGUGCACAUCUUGACGGUACCUAAUCAGAAAGCCACGGCUAACUACGUG
RNAcentral lists this ribosomal RNA (497 nucleotides) under uncultured bacterium. RNAcentral describes it as "partial 16S ribosomal RNA". It matches the Rfam family "Bacterial small subunit ribosomal RNA", at positions 28 to 507 of the family's 1533-position model. The record is from RNAcentral.